RNAcentral lists this ribosomal RNA (510 nucleotides) under uncultured bacterium. Its description in RNAcentral is "partial 16S ribosomal RNA". It matches the Rfam family "Bacterial small subunit ribosomal RNA", at positions 28 to 507 of the family's 1533-position model. The record is from RNAcentral.
GACGAACGCUGGCGGCGUGCUUAACACAUGCAAGUCGAACGAAGAGCGAUGGAAGCUUGCUUCUAUCAAUCUUAGUGGCGAACGGGUGAGUAACGCGUAAUCAACCUGCCCUUCAGAGGGGGACAACAGUUGGAAACGACUUCUAAUACCGCAUACGAUCUAAUCUCGGCAUCGAGGAUAGAUGAAAGGUAGCCUCUACAUGUAAGCUAUCACUGAAGGAGGGGAUUGCGUCUGAUUAGCGAGUUGGAGGGGUAACGGCCCACCAAGGCGAUGAUCAGUAGCCGGUCGGAGAGGAUGAACGGCCACAUUGGGACUGAGACACGGCCCAGACUCCUACGGGAGGCAGCAGUGGGGAAUCUUCCGCAAUGGACGAAAGUCUGACGGAGCAACGCCGCGUGAGUGAUGACGGCCUUCGGGUUGUAAAGCUCUGUUAAUCGGGAAGAAAGGCCUUCUUGCGAAUAGUGAGAAGGAUUGACGGUACCGGAAGAGAAAGCCACGGCUAACUACGUG